GAUGAACGCUGGCGGCGUGCCUAAUACAUGCAAGUCGAGCGAACGGACGAGAAGCUUGCUUCUCUGAUGUAAGCGGCGGACGGGUGAGUAACACGUGGAUAACCUACCUAUAAGACUGGGAUAACUUCGGGAAACCGUAGCUAAUACCGGAUAAUAUUUUGAACCGCAUGGUUCAAAAGUGAAAGACGGUCUUGCUGUCACUUAUAGAUGGAUCCGCGCUGCAUUAGCUAGUUGGUAAGGUAACGGCUUACCAAGGCAACGAUGCAUAGCCGACCUGAGAGGGUGAUCGGCCACACUGGAACUGAGACACGGUCCAGACUCCUACGGGAGGCAGCAGUAGGGAAUCUUCCGCAAUGGGCGAAAGCCUGACGGAGCAACGCCGCGUGAGUGAUGAAGGUCUUCGGAUCGUAAAACUCUGUUAUUAGGGAAGAACAUAUGUGUAAGUAACUGUGCACAUCUUGACGGUACCUAAUCAGAAAGCCACGGCUAACUACGUG
This 497-nucleotide ribosomal RNA is filed under the name uncultured bacterium. RNAcentral's name for it is "partial 16S ribosomal RNA". It matches the Rfam family "Bacterial small subunit ribosomal RNA", at positions 28 to 507 of the family's 1533-position model. The record is from RNAcentral.